This 106-nucleotide small RNA is filed under the name Marmota monax (woodchuck). The record is from RNAcentral. Lineage: Eukaryota; Metazoa; Chordata; Mammalia; Rodentia; Sciuridae.
GCUGGGUGUGGUGGCACACACCUGUAAUCCCAGCAGCUUGGGAGGCUCAGGCAGGAGGAUCAUGAGUUCAAAGUCAGCCUUAGCAACUUAAUGAGACCCUGUCUCU